This 793-nucleotide unclassified non-coding RNA is filed under the name Hevea brasiliensis (rubber tree). The record is from RNAcentral. Lineage: Eukaryota; Viridiplantae; Streptophyta; Magnoliopsida; Malpighiales; Euphorbiaceae.
GUGGUAGCAAUAAUGGAACUGGCGGCGGAGGUGGUUCUGGCGGCAAAGGCGAUGGUGGUGGUGGUGGUGGGGAAUUUCAUUGGGGAGGUGGAGAUGGUGGAGAUAUGGGUGGCACAGAAGAGUAUUAUAAGAACAUGCUGCAGGAAAAUCCUGGCAACUCCUUGUUUCUGAGGAAUUAUGCACAAUAUCUGUAUCAGUCAAAGGGAGAUCUUCAAGGCGCAGAGGAGUAUUACUCACGAGCUAUAUUAGCAGAUCCUAAAGAUGGUGAAGUUCUAUCACAGUAUGCGAAGUUAAUAUGGGAGUUGCAUCAUGAUCAAGAAAGAGCUUCAACCUACUUUGAAGGGGCAGUUCAAGCUUCUCCUGAAGAUAGCCAUGUACAUGCAGCCUAUGCAAGAUUCCUAUGGGAAACAGAGGAAGACGAUGACGAGUGUAACGCGCCAAGAGAUUUUGAUGCCAUGCCCCACAUUUCCAUCAAGACUUAAUGACUUCUACUGGUUCUUGAUGGCAAGAGUGAGCGGCAGCACACAGACAUUGUCAGGAGGGAUAUGUUGGAGAAAAUGAGCAGCAGUGCAUAACUCUUACGUGCCAUGACACACAUUGAGAUAUUCCUUUUCCCAAUUGCGAUGGAGUUGUAAAUUAAUGUUUGAUAUAGUUAUACGCUGAUUGGAGAGUCCUUAAAGCUUGCCACAGCAUAAAUCUGACACCUUGUGAUGAUGGAAUAAACUUGAUUGACUCGCCGUGAAAAAGUUCCAUGUAUUUGGCUAACGAUCGAGUCACAACCAAGUCACCGAUG